UGCACAAGCGGUGGAGCAUGUGGUUUAAUUCGAUGCAACGCGAAGAACCUUACCUACUCUUGACAUCCAGAGAACUUUCCAGAGAUGGAUUGGUGCCUUCGGGAACUCUGAGACAGGUGCUGCAUGGCUGUCGUCAGCUCGUGUUGUGAAAUGUUGGGUUAAGUCCCGCAACGAGCGCAACCCUUAUCCUUGUUUGCCAGCGAGUAAUGUCGGGAACUCCAGGGAGACUGCCGGUGAUAAACCGGAGGAAGGUGGGGACGACGUCAAGUCAUCAUGGCCCUUACGAGUAGGGCUACACACGUGCUACAAUGGCGCAUACAGAGGGCAGCAAGCUAGCGAUAGUGAGCGAAUCCCAAAAAGUGCGUCGUAGUCCGGAUUGGAGUCUGCAACUCGACUCCAUGAGAGUCGGAAUCGCUAGUAAUCGGGAUCAGAAGACGU
Molecule: ribosomal RNA, 438 nt
Filed under: Vibrio sp. F 75048
Lineage: Bacteria; Pseudomonadati; Pseudomonadota; Gammaproteobacteria; Vibrionales; Vibrionaceae
Description: bacterial SSU rRNA
Rfam family: Bacterial small subunit ribosomal RNA
Source: RNAcentral